RNAcentral lists this ribosomal RNA (895 nucleotides) under Colletotrichum cereale. RNAcentral's name for it is "LSU rRNA". It matches the Rfam family "Eukaryotic large subunit ribosomal RNA", at positions 37 to 965 of the family's 3401-position model. The record is from RNAcentral. Lineage: Eukaryota; Fungi; Ascomycota; Sordariomycetes; Glomerellales; Glomerellaceae.
CGCAUAUCAAUAAGCGGAGGAAAAGAAACCAACAGGGAUUGCCCCAGUAACGGCGAGUGAAGCGGCAACAGCUCAAAUUUGAAAUCUGGCCCCAGGCCCGAGUUGUAAUUUGCAGAGGAUGCUUUUGGCGCGGUGCCUUCCGAGUUCCCUGGAACGGGACGCCAUAGAGGGUGAGAGCCCCGUACGGUUGGACACCAAGCCUUUGUAAAGCUCCUUCGACGAGUCGAGUAGUUUGGGAAUGCUGCUCAAAAUGGGAGGUAUAUUUCUUCUAAAGCUAAAUAUUGGCCAGAGACCGAUAGCGCACAAGUAGAGUGAUCGAAAGAUGAAAAGCACUUUGAAAAGAGGGUUAAACAGCACGUGAAAUUGUUAAAAGGGAAGCGCUUGUGACCAGACUUGCGCCCGGUGAAUCACCCAGCUCUCGCGGCUGGGGCACUUCGCCGGCACAGGCCAGCAUCAGCUCGCUGUCGGGGACAAAAGCUUCGGGAACGUAGCUCUCUUCGGGGAGUGUUAUAGCCCGUUGCAUAAUACCCUUCGGUGGGCUGAGGUACGCGUUCGCAAGGAUGCUGGCGUAAUGGUCAUCAGCGACCCGUCUUGAAACACGGACCAAGGAGUCAACCUUAUGUGCGAGUGUUUGGGUGUUAAACCCCUACGCGUAAUGAAAGUGAACGCAGGUGAGAGCUUCGGCGCAUCAUCGACCGAUCCUGAUGUUCUCGGAUGGAUUUGAGUAAGAGCAUAUAGGGUUGGACCCGAAAGAAGGUGAACUAUGCGUGUAUAGGGUGAAGCCAGAGGAAACUCUGGUGGAGGCUCGCAGCGGUUCUGACGUGCAAUCGAUCGUCAAAUAUGCGCAUGGGGGCGAAAGACUAAUCGAACCUUCUAGUAGCUGGUUUCCGCCGAA